This 115-nucleotide ribosomal RNA is filed under the name SAR202 cluster bacterium. Lineage: Bacteria; Bacillati; Chloroflexota; Dehalococcoidia. The record is from RNAcentral.
CCGGGUGACUAGAGCGGGGUGGUCCCACCCGUUUCCAUUCCGAACACGGUAGUGAAACGCCCCAGCGCUGACGAUACUGCCCCAUGUGGGGUGGGAAAAUAAGCCGUUGCCCGGG